CUAUACAUGCAGUCGAACGAGUUCUGAUUAUUGAAAGGUGCUUGCAUCUUGAUUUAAUUUUGAACGAGUGGCGGACGGGUGAGUAACACGUGGGUAACCUGCCCUUAAGUGGGGGAUAACAUUUGGAAACAGAUGCUAAUACCGCAUAAAUCCAAGAACCGCAUGGUUCUUGGCUGAAAGAUGGCGUAAGCUAUCGCUUUUGGAUGGACCCGCGGCGUAUUAGCUAGUUGGUGAGGUAACGGCUCACCAAGGCAAUGAUACGUAGCCGAACUGAGAGGUUGAUCGGCCACAUUGGGACUGAGACACGGCCCAAACUCCUACGGGAGGGCAGCAGUAGGGAAUCUUCCACAAUGGACGCAAGUCUGAUGGAGCAACGCCGCGUGAGUGAAGAAGGCUUUCGGGUCGUAAAACUCUGUUGUUGGAGAAGAAUGGUCGGCAGAGUAACUGUUGUCGGCGUGACGGUAUCCAACCAGAAAGCCACGGCUAACUACGUGCCAGCAGCCGCGGUAAUACGUAGGUGGCAAGCGUUAUCCGGAUUUAUUGGGCGUAAAGCGAGCGCAGGCGGUUUUUUAAGUCUGAUGUGAAAGCCCUCGGCUUAACCGAGGAAGUGCAUCGGAAACUGGGAAACUUGAGUGCAGAAGAGGACAGUGGAACUCCAUGUGUAGCGGUGAAAUGCGUAGAUAUAUGGAAGAACACCAGUGGCGAAGGCGGCUGUCUGGUCUGUAACUGACGCUGAGGCUCGAAAGCAUGGGUAGCGAACAGGAUUAGAUACCCUGGUAGUCCAUGCCGUAAACGAUGAAUGCUAGGUGUUGGAGGGUUUCCGCCCUUCAGUGCCGCAGCUAACGCAUUAAGCAUUCCGCCUGGGGAGUACGACCGCAAGGUUGAAACUCAAAGGAAUUGACGGGGGGCCCGCACAAGCGGUGGAGCAUGUGGUUUAAUUCGAAGCAACGCGAAGAACCUUACCAGGUCUUGACAUCUUUUGAUCACCUGAGAGAUCAUGGUUUCCCCUUCGGGGGCAAAAUGACAGGUGGUGCAUGGUUGUCGUCAGCUCGUGUCGUGAGAUGUUGGGUUAAGUCCCGCAACGAGCGCAACCCUUAUGACUAGUUGCCAGCAUUUAGUUGGGCACUCUAGUAAGACUGCCGGUGACAAACCGGAGGAAGGUGGGGAUGACGUCAAAUCAUCAUGCCCCUUAUGACCUGGGCUACACACGUGCUACAAUGGAUGGUACAACGAGUUGCGAGACCGCGAGGUCAAGCUAAUCUCUUAAAGCCAUUCUCAGUUCGGACUGUAGGCUGCAACUCGCCUACACGAAGUCGGAAUCGCUAGUAAUCGCGGAUCAGCACGCCGCGGUGAAUACGUUCCCGGGCCUUGUACACACCGCCCGUCACACCAUGAGAGUUUGUAACACCCGAAGCCGGUGGCGUAACCCUUUUAGGGAGCGAGCCGUCUAAGGU
RNAcentral lists this ribosomal RNA (1454 nucleotides) under Lacticaseibacillus rhamnosus. Its description in RNAcentral is "bacterial SSU rRNA". It matches the Rfam family "Bacterial small subunit ribosomal RNA". The record is from RNAcentral. Lineage: Bacteria; Bacillati; Bacillota; Bacilli; Lactobacillales; Lactobacillaceae.